CUGCUGUCUUCAACUCCUUUCUCAUCAGCGAGGUGAUCAAUGCGUUCACGAUCCCCAGGCUAGGCUACCAUAGCCUGUUCUACCUGGGGAUGGAGGUGAAAGCCAUUUGGAAGCUCCAGCUGAACCAUUAUGCAACAGCCCACCCACGAGGCAAUAAGGACAAACAGGGGCAUGCCCCACUUUCUACACUGCCUCCCCAUCGGAUAACACACAGGUCAAGGUCCUGGUGCUCAAGAGCCAUGUGUCUCUCCAAGAUCUGCCUCUGUAGCCAUGAUCAACAGGGACAGUAAUGUUCUGGGAGCUAGUGGCACGCCCUGGACUGUGGAACUCCUUGCCACUGGAGAUCAAGAUGAGCCCAAGGUGCUUUAUCCAUAGAUGGUGAGAUAGCUUCACUCAAGCCUCUCUUCAAUAACCGUUGUCUGACACCCUGAUGCCAGCAACAGCCAGCUUGGUGACAACUCCACAAUGACACCCUCUCUGCGCUCCAGCUUCGCUCCAGCACGGCAUCUGCAGGACCUGCUACAGAGCCCAGUUCAUUCGGGCCAGGUCCAUGUUUACGGUGAGUAAAAUCUCCACUCUGGUGUCAGUCUGGCAAAACAGCUACAUUCAGCCUCUUCAUAGGCCUCCUCCCCCCAUGCAGCUGUCUGCGGUUCGGGGAGCUGGUCGCCGCCCCGGUCAGAGAGGAAAGGGUUAAGUACAGCCCGCACCAGCAGAAAUCAAAGGAUUACAGGAGCCGGAGCGGUGUGAAUAGCGAGGCCCGGUGGCGGGCUGACUGGACUCCCUGGAGCGGUAAUUCUGAGGAUGACAAACACAAGCCAAAGAAAAAUGUUGAAAAAUAGGCACUUCCCGCAGCCCUGAGCAAAGGAGCUAUUGCAGGGUUUGGAAAUAACCAAGGCGAAAAGAGGGAGAGGGAGGGGUAUUUUCUCAUUGAGAACAAGUGAAGUGCCAAACAAGCAGCUAUUAAGGUGGCUUGAAGAGGCACAGGGGAGGGGUGUACAGGAGCAGAGAGAGGGCAGAAGUGGUGGAAAGGAGACGGGAUGGGGAAAGGGGAUGAAGGAAAGUAGGUGAGUGGAAGAUGGUUAAGGAAGAGAGUGUGAACGGAAAGGGGAGAGUGUGUGAGCGUGGGCAUGGCACAAGACAGAGAAAAUGGAAGGCGAGAAAGAGCAGAGAGCAAGAA
This is a long non-coding RNA of Mauremys reevesii (Reeves's turtle), 1177 nucleotides long. RefSeq lists it as uncharacterized. The record is from RefSeq and is a predicted model, not a curated record. Lineage: Eukaryota; Metazoa; Chordata; Testudines; Geoemydidae. The transcript is spliced from 3 exons.